UUUGUUUUAAAUGAAAAAGGUAAAAUCGACCCUUAUUCUUUUGCUUAUCAAGGUAAGAUGCUUGAAACCUUUGAAACACUUUUGUACUCCUCGGAUAGUGACAAAGAUCGUGUUGAUGAACACUUAGAUCGAAACGUGCUUGACUGUCCUAUUUUAUUUAUUGAUGAUAAAUCUAUUUUGAUGGUUGAUAAAAAGAUUCUUGUUUUUGAUAAUGCAUGUGUGAGUGAAUCUAUAGACCGUCGAUUAAGGCAUGGUAAUCUGAAUCUAUCCAUUCACAUGCGUUAUACCUGUUCUAUUAUGCUUAUAAUUGGACUACAAGCUUGUUUGCGUUGCUAUUUACUAUUUCAUGGCUAUUCUUUUCAGUGGACUCAAUUGCC
RNAcentral lists this long non-coding RNA (377 nucleotides) under Gossypium barbadense (sea-island cotton). Its description in RNAcentral is "long non-coding RNA (GBAR_LNC012414)". Lineage: Eukaryota; Viridiplantae; Streptophyta; Magnoliopsida; Malvales; Malvaceae. The record is from RNAcentral.